Long non-coding RNA from Nematolebias whitei (Rio pearlfish), 264 nucleotides. RefSeq lists it as uncharacterized. The record is from RefSeq and is a predicted model, not a curated record. The transcript is spliced from 3 exons. Lineage: Eukaryota; Metazoa; Chordata; Actinopteri; Cyprinodontiformes; Rivulidae.
UUGCUCCUGGAAACUCUCAUUUCCGAGGUUCUUCGAACUACUCUUCUCUGUUAUGGCGGUGACUUGGACUUUUGGAUGAUGGAACUCCACUCGUCACAGACCUGAGGGCGAUGGUGUCUUCUACUUCAUCACAUCUGUUCUACUUUACAAAAUGGCUUUAAGAGGAAACGCUUUGACAAAUGCAUGUCUGCUGAUCAUUUUAAUGAGAGUCUUCAGUGUCCGUUCCCUCACAUGUCAUCUCACAGAGUAUCAGAUCGGGAUGAA